Molecule: ribosomal RNA, 431 nt
Filed under: uncultured bacterium
Lineage: Bacteria
Description: bacterial SSU rRNA
Rfam family: Bacterial small subunit ribosomal RNA
Source: RNAcentral
GGAGGGAAUUUUGUCCAAUGGGCGAAAGCCUGAGACAGCAACGCCGCGUGUGGGAUGAAGGCCCUCGGGUCGUAAACCACUGUCGGAAGGGAAGAACAACCUGGCGGGUAAUAUUCGCCGGGCCUGACGGUACCUUCAGAGGAAGCACCGGCUAACUCCGUGCCAGCAGCCGCGGUAAUACGGAGGGUGCAAGCGUUGUUCGGAAUUACUGGGCGUAAAGCGCGUGUAGGCGGUCGGGCAAGUCGAAUGUGAAAUCCCCGGGCUCAACCCGGGAAUUGCAUCCGAAACUGCUUGGCUAGAGUCCCGGAGAGGAAGGCAGAAUUCCCAGUGUAGGGGUGAAAUCCGUAGAUAUUGGGAGGAAUACCAGUGGCGAAGGCGGCCUUCUGGACGGUGACUGACGCUGAGAUGCGAAAGCGUGGGGAGCAAACAGG